CAGAUAGAGUGGACAGUUUCUCCUCCAGUGGCCGUCAGCAUCACAGUGAAAAUAUUUUUCUUUUGCUUCAACCUUUUUUGGAACAUCCUUCUUUGGCUUGCUCUCUUUUUUCUGCUUCUUAGCAGAUUUGUUCUUCUUCUUCUAAUCAGACUUUCUCUUAGUCGAAAAAGUCCACUCCAUAGUGAAAACAGUACCCCUUAAACUCUUCAAGGUUCUCUCUGUAGUAA
This 227-nucleotide long non-coding RNA is filed under the name Elaeis guineensis (African oil palm). RNAcentral describes it as "long non-coding RNA (EGUI_LNC069154)". The record is from RNAcentral. Lineage: Eukaryota; Viridiplantae; Streptophyta; Magnoliopsida; Arecales; Arecaceae.